Long non-coding RNA from Daphnia pulicaria, 444 nucleotides. RefSeq lists it as uncharacterized. The transcript has 3 exons. The record is from RefSeq and is a predicted model, not a curated record. Lineage: Eukaryota; Metazoa; Arthropoda; Branchiopoda; Diplostraca; Daphniidae.
GUGCACUGUACGACAAGAGACAUUUUAAACUGAAUCUUCAACAACUCAGGUGCUUCUUAUUUAUAGGUAAAAAAAGUUUUGGAAAUUCCGAAAAAGUGCCAUUUGGAUUCUAAGUAAAGUAAAGAGCAAAUUCAAGAUGAUCCAACCUCCUGCUUAUUAGAUCAUCGUUCGGUUCGCACGGUCUGUCAAACGCCUUGAACUCAAAAUUUUAUCACAACUUCUACGACCUUGUCAUCGAGGAACGUGGGGCGACAUUUUGGCGUCAAUGGCGGAGUUCAAUAGGUAGGCCCACCAUCACCGUUUGUCUGUCUACAAGAGUAGGUUGACCCUUCUUUGUUAAACUGGAAUUACCUAGAUUUUUGAACCCUGUUUGAGGGUCCAAGUUCGAUGUACUAUGGUUCUUAACAUCGAACCCUUUUUAAAAUCUUAGUUUAGACCACUACG